ACUCCUACGGGAGGCAGCAGUGGGAAUAUUGGACAAUGGGCAGAAAGCCUGAUCCAGCCAUGCCGCGUGUGUGAAGAAGGCCUUCGGGUUGUAAAGCACUUUCAGUGAGGAAGAAAGCUUGAGUUAAUACCUUGAGGGAGGACAUCACUCACAUGAAGAAGCACCUGGCUAACUCCGUGCCAGCAGCCGCGGUAAUACGGAGGGUGCGAGCGUUAAUCGGAAUUACUGGGCGU
This 233-nucleotide ribosomal RNA is filed under the name uncultured bacterium. RNAcentral describes it as "partial 16S ribosomal RNA". It matches the Rfam family "Bacterial small subunit ribosomal RNA", at positions 335 to 561 of the family's 1533-position model. The record is from RNAcentral.